GAUGAACGCUGGCGGCGUGCCUAAUACAUGCAAGUCGAGCGAUGCGGGGACGGGUGAGUAACACGUGGAUCACCUCUUCUAAGACUGGGAUAACUUCGGGAAACCGGAGAAAAACCGUAUACCUAUUGAUGGAUCCGCGCUGCAUUAGCUAGUUGGGAAGGUAAGGACUUACCAAGGCAACGAUGCAUAGCCGAUCUGCGAGGGUGUUCUGCCACACUGGAACGUAGACACGGUCCAGACGCCUACGGGAGGCAGCAGUAGGGAAUCUUCCGAAAUGGGCGAAAGCCUGACGGAGCAACGCCGCGUGAGUGAUGAAGGUCUUCGGAUUGUAAAGCUCUGUUAGUAGGGAAGCGGUACCUAAGCAGAAAGCCACGGCUAACUACGUGACAGCAGACGCGGUAAUUC
RNAcentral lists this ribosomal RNA (405 nucleotides) under uncultured bacterium. Its description in RNAcentral is "partial 16S ribosomal RNA". It matches the Rfam family "Bacterial small subunit ribosomal RNA", at positions 28 to 526 of the family's 1533-position model. The record is from RNAcentral.